RNAcentral lists this long non-coding RNA (801 nucleotides) under Strigops habroptila (Kakapo). RNAcentral describes it as "lncRNA (ENSSHBG00005003345.1)". Lineage: Eukaryota; Metazoa; Chordata; Aves; Psittaciformes; Psittacidae. The record is from RNAcentral.
GGGUCGGGAGCGCGGCGCGGCCGCUCUGCGGUAAGGUCGGGCCAGGCUGUGCCGGGCCCAGCGCUGUGGGGCGGCCCCAGACCGCAGCACUUCCCCUGCACUGGCGGUAGCGGAGAUGUGAGACGGCGCUCGGAGAUGGUGGGAGAACAGGGGGAGGCCAGGGCAAAUUAUAGCACUGCUUUUAGCAGCUCUGAAAGAAAAUUCAUGUACUCACAUUCAAAGACCGAUAUUUGAAAGGACUGUAUAUAGAUAUGCCACACAUAACCAGCGCAUGAAUGAGAUGGAGCAACAAUUUCAAGAAGCAGGACCUGAUUUUGGGAGCAUGCACUCUAGCUCUGAAUCAGUUCAAGAUAACUGGACACCUGCUGUGGAUGCUAUGGAAAAUAUUUUCAGAAUGGGAUCAGGCAAGUAUUGGGUUCGGAACACAAAAUGCUGAUCCACAGCUGGAACUAGCCCAAUGUUCAUGGCUCUUCCUAUCUGGAUUUUCUUUUCAACCCACUAGGGUGCAAAUUGCUCAGUUGCAGAAAAUUUCUGUGUUUGUGUGUGUUCCUUGAAGAGCAGGAGACCUGGUUCCACUACUUGAACCAUUUUAGUGGGUUUCUUUCAGACGUCUCAACAUUUGUUUCUUGCUGGCUGAGUCUCUGGGGAUGUAAGAAACAAAGACCGGCACGUUUUUCGCCUGUAGCACUGAGCUGAGCUGUGGCUUCUCUGGUUGCCAUAUGUCCCAACAAGCAAAUGCAUGUGCCAGCUCAUGCAGCGGCAUGCGCUAUGCUACUGGCUGAAUAAAAGCAUCACACAGGA